UCCCUGGGGGCUCAGACGGUAAAGCGUCGGCCUGCAAAGCGGGAGACCCGGGUUCCAUUCCUGGGUCGGGAA
RNAcentral lists this transfer RNA (72 nucleotides) under Ovis aries (sheep). It matches the Rfam family "tRNA". Rfam says of the family: Transfer RNA (tRNA) molecules are approximately 80 nucleotides in length. Their secondary structure includes four short double-helical elements and three loops (D, anti-codon, and T loops). The record is from Rfam by way of RNAcentral. Lineage: Eukaryota; Metazoa; Chordata; Mammalia; Artiodactyla; Bovidae.